This is a long non-coding RNA of Oncorhynchus keta (chum salmon), 1649 nucleotides long. RefSeq lists it as uncharacterized. The transcript has 6 exons. NCBI's taxonomy places the organism in Eukaryota, Metazoa, Chordata, Actinopteri, Salmoniformes, Salmonidae. The record is from RefSeq and is a predicted model, not a curated record.
CUUUCUUUCUCUCUCUCGGAGGACCUGAGCCCUAGGACCAUGCCCCAGGACUACCUGACAUGAUAAUAAUAAUAAUAAUAAUAUAUGCCAUUUAGCAGACGCUUUUAUCCAAAGCGACUUACAGUCAUGUGUGCAUACAUGAUGGCUCCUCGCUGUCCCCAGUCCACCUGGCCAUGCUGCUGCUCCAGUUUCAACUGACCUGAGCCCUAGGACCAUGCCCCAGGACUACCUGACAUGAUGACUCCUUGCUGUCCCCAGUACACCUGGCCAUGCUGCUGCUCCAGUUUCAACUGACCUGAGCCCUAGGACCAUGCCCCAGGACUACCUGACAUGAUGGCUCCUUGCUGUCCCCAGUCCACCUGGCCGUGCUGCUGCUCCAGUUUCAACUGUUCUGCCUUACUAUUAUUUGACCAUGCUGGUCAUUUAUGAACAUUUGAACAUCUUGGCCAUGUUCUGUUAUAAUCUCCACCCGGCACAGCCAGAAGAGGACUGGCCACCCCACAUAGCCUGGUUCCUCUCUAGGUUUCUUCCUAGGUUUUGGCCUUUCUAGGGAGUUUUUCCUAGCCACCGUGCUUCUACACCUGCAUUGCUUGCUGUUUGGGGUUUUAGGCUGGGUUUCUGUACAGCACUUUGAGAUAUCAGCUGAUGUACCAAGGGCUAUAUAAAUAAAAUUUGAUUGAUUGAUAGGCCAAAAGCUAAGUCUUGUCAGAAUUCUAGAUAAGGAACAAAACACACCCACACAGUUACGCCCAAAGAUUUGGAAACCAAAACACUGUGAUACAUCUAGUCUCUCUCUCCUCUAGGUGUAAAACACUGAUACAUCUAGUCUCUCUCUCCUCUAGGUGUAAAACACUGAUACAUCUGGUCUCUCUCCUCUAGGUGUAAAACACUGAUACAUCUGGUCUCUCUCCUCUAGGUGUAAAACACUGAUACAUCUAGUCUCUCUCUCCUCUAGGUGUAAAACACUGAUACAUCUGGUCUCUCUCCUCUAGGUGUAAAACACUGAUACAUCUGGUCUCUCUCCUCUAGGUGUAAAACACUGAUACAUCUGGUCUCUCUCUCCUCUAGGUGUAAAACACUGAUACAUCUAGUCUCUCUCUCCUCUAGGUGUAAAACACUGAUACAUCUGGUCUCUCUCUCCUCUAGGUGUAAAACACUGAUACAUCUGGUCUCUCUCCUCUAGGUGUAAAACACUGAUACAUCUAGUCUCUCUCCUCUAGGUGUAAAACACUGAUACAUCUAGUCUCUCUCUCCUCUAGGUGUAAAACACUGAUACAUCUGGUCUCUCUCUCCUCUAGGUGUAAAACACUGAUACAUCUAGUCUCUCUCUCCUCUAGGUGUAAAACACUGAUACAUCUGGUCUCUCUCCUCUAGGUGUAAAACACUGAUACAUCUGGUCUCUCUCCUCUAGGUGUAAAACACUGAUACAUCUGGUCUCUCUCUCCUCUAGGUGUAAAACACUGAUACAUCUAGUCUCUCUCCUCUAGGUGUAAAACACUGAUACAUCUGGUCUCUCUCUCCUCUAGGUGUAAAACACUGAUACAUCUAGUCUCUCUCCUCUAGGUGUAAAACACUGAUACAUCUGGUCUCUCUCUCCUCUAGGUGUAAAACACUGAUACAUCUAGUCUCUCUCUCCUCUAGGUGUAAAA